AGUAAAUAAAGACGUAGAAAGAAAAACCCCUCAAAAAAUCAGGUCAGAAGAUUUUAAGUGGAAAAUAAAAGGUGCGGAUGCGAAGCAAGUGGAGGUGGAAUCUUAUCAGCGAUGCGCACUUCGCAGUUAACUCUGCCUUCUUAACACGUUUCUGCAGUUAUAAAUUCCAGGGGAAGCAGCAAACCGAGAGCACCGUUCUUCCUGGUAGCUGGAGGGCGGGAGGGCUGACAACUAUUCUUCCCCAGGUAACUUGCUGUGGUUUGAUAACGCCACUCGGCUUUCAUCUGAUGAACUCCUAGCCCAGGUGGCAUCGGAAAUGAGAGAAGAGCCUUGCUGGUACGACGAAAGGCUGCUUUGGAAAGAGAGAGGCACCUGCCAACACCGCCAUCGGGACCUCUUGGCUCUAGAACCUAUGGGGAGCUGGGACCACGGGUUUGCACCACCAUCCUGGCAUACUCCCCUCUUCAAAUGUUAUUCUGCCAGUUUUCCGAGGUAUCAAUCAAUUUAUUAAAACUUCCUUCAGGUAA
This is a non-coding RNA of Rattus norvegicus (Norway rat), 527 nucleotides long. Lineage: Eukaryota; Metazoa; Chordata; Mammalia; Rodentia; Muridae. The record is from RefSeq and is a predicted model, not a curated record.